RNAcentral lists this long non-coding RNA (5291 nucleotides) under Homo sapiens (human). RNAcentral's name for it is "HSALNT0392011". The record is from RNAcentral. Lineage: Eukaryota; Metazoa; Chordata; Mammalia; Primates; Hominidae.
CGGCCCCUGCGACUCCUGGUGCCCGGCUGGGACACGUGGGGCCGGCUUUGCGGAGUCAGCAGGGCCAAGGUGCGCGGGGUGCGCUCCCCCCCGGAACCCCGCCCCUUCUCACCCCAUCUCGCUUUUUUGGGAGAGGAGAGUGGAGCCGUCAGCACCCACUGGCAGUGUCGGUGCUGUGCUGGGAGUCCUCCCAGACCAGCCCACUCCUCCUGGUUUGAGCUUCCGAUCCAUCCCUACUCCUUUACGGUUCUUCUUCCCCGUAGUUAACCUGCGGAGAGGAGGAGGUACUGUCUCCGCACAAGGUACUGCGGAGGUACCUUGCGGAGGAACCUUGCGGAGGAGGUACUGCGGUGGGGAGGCAGGGGGGAGGCGCAUCUGCCUCCGCACAAGGGGUCUAAUGGCUUGCUUAUUCCUUCUAGGCCAGGUUGAAAGGUUUUUAAAAGCAGGUGGGGGUGCCAGGAUAGUGAGAAAAACAAGAAAAGACACUGCUUUUUACCCCAUGCGGGGCAGAGCUGGUCUCCUUUCUGCAGGUGUUGAGGGGAGUUGAGUAGGAGCCCAGAGCUGGUACAGGCCCCGUUUAACGUGCCCCCGCAGAGUGAGGGCUGGGGGUCACCCCAUAGGCAGGGGAGCCCUUCUGGGAGGGAAUUCCUGCUUAGGUGGGAGGUUGACCUGAAUGACAUCUAGGUCCUCUACCUCCCAGAUGCCGAAUUUUCAGGGAAGGAACCAAAUGGAUGUAUGGCCCAUGCCUGGGUUUGAAUCCCAGUUCUGGCCUUCAUUCCUCCAGGCCUCCAUUUCCUUGUCUGCACUAUGGGGCCAUGGUGAGAACUCUGAAAUAACACCAACUGCCUGGUGCUUGGUAGGUGCCACAUUACAAAAGCGGUGGGAAGGAGGCCCUUUGGUUUCCAUGUCGGUGGUCAUGUCCCACAGUCCCCGUUGCCAUCCUGAUUAUGGAAAACUUCAUUUCAUGCUCCAAAUGUUCCUCAAUUCCUGGCACUGUUCUAGGUCCUGCACCCAGGCUGGUAUGAAAAAGGUGCCGAGAAGGUCCCAUGCAUCACCAGCCUGGAGGUAGCAGCAGAAGGGAAACCAGUGCCUCUGAGAGUGGGCAACUGUGCCCCAUCCACCUCCUCUUCUUCUUGGAGAUCUCAAGAUAAGACAAGAGACAUCAACCUGGGAUUGGGUUUCUGGGCAGAGAGUAAAAGUGAGCUCCUUCUGCCUGUGCACGCAGCUUCCCUCGGUACUGGGAUAGCCGAGAUCCCUUACUAGAAGCAGCUCACAAAACCUCCCCCAGUUACUGGGAUAGCCCAGACACCUUCCUAGGGCAGCAGCGGAAGAAAGAAGGGGACAAAAUACCAACGACCAGAAAGAAGAAAGAACUUAGCCUCAGUCACCAGCCACUGGGAGCUGAUAGUAACUGAAGGGAUGGAAAGCCCUCUGGGACAGUUUUAGUGGGAGCCCUCCAGAGCCUGGAGAGACUGCAGGUGGAGCAGGAAGGUGGGGAAGAAUUAGAGCAGUGACCCCGGCCACUUUUGGCCUCACGGUUCUGCACAAUGAGACAUUGCUCAUCUUCAGAGAACCGUGCCAUUCUGGCCAUCUGGCAUCCUAGACAAUUUUCCACUGUCUCUCAGUAUCCAGCCAUCCAGCCAUCUAGCCUCCUAACUACUUCUCUGUGCUGGUCCAGCCCAGUGCUCAGAGUUAGGAUAUUUUUAUGAAUAAAACAGACCUAGCUUCUGCCCUCGUGGAGCUUACAGCGUGGGGCGAAAGGAGACUGAUCAAAAUGCCACACACAUGUAAUUUACAACCUUGGGAAGUGCCAAGAAGGGGAAGUGUUGGGUGCCACUGAGAACAUUCACAGAGGUUAACCUGGGGCUGAGGUGGAGGAAAGGUCAGAUGGAAGCUGUCUAACCACCCUGGGCUUCUGGCUUAGGAUGUGUAGGGCUAGCAGCUCAGCCCAUGAGGUUGUGUCUUGAACUUGGGUAUUGAUGGAAUAGCUAUAGAAACAGAACAACCAUGAAGUGAAGAUGGUGAAUGAAGAUCCUCUCAUCAGCUUGCGAUUGCAUGACAGAGGAGGCUGCAAGGACACUCAGGUGUGAAGACGGGUGAGUUGCCAGUUCUGGAGUGCAGAUGUGGUUACCAGCAGCCUCUGUUUUGGAGGCUACUCUGAAGCCAUAUUCAGCUUGGGAGGCCUCCUGCAGGGUUGACCCAGUUCUGGAACAAACCAAGGUGUUUGGGUCUGAACCAGGGCCUGAGCAGAUCCCAUCCCAUAUCCAGCUGAACUGUCUCACCCAGUCUGCAUUGAGUAUCGGUCCCAAGUGGAGGCCACAGGAAGAAGUGCUGUUCCCUAGUGGUCUUAGAUGCUUCAUCAGCUAAAGCGUGGGGCUCAGUCUCCUGGUGUCCACCUGUAAAAUGAAAGUGGUGUCCCAGAGUCUCUCCAAAGCUCCUUGUGGUGACUCUAUGGUCCUAAGAAACCGUUCACUUUAUAGGCCUAUCUCAGUGCACAGCUGAUGCCUCUGAUGCAGGGGUGGCUGUGGCUGUGCUGCCGCUCCUAUGGGGGAGGCAUCCUGGCCAGCACGCUCUUUGCACCUGAUGACUCCCUACGGCAGCUGCACAGCACUGCAGUUAGAAGCCCAGGCCACGUGGAUUUCAGCCCCGGCCCUACCACUCAGUAGCUGUGUGACCCUGGGCCAGGUGUUUGACCUCCCAAGGCACCCAUUUCCUCAUGGAGGUAAUAAUAGUAUCUAUAACCUCAGUUUACCACACGGAUGAAAAGACAAUGCAUGUAAGGGUUCCUCCGCGGCACCUGGCUCAGUGAGCAAUCUGUAAUUGUGAGCUGUUGUCAUUAAGAGGCCGUGGGAACACUAGUCGGUGGUGUGUAUAUCCAGGGGUGGGUGUUGCUUCUGGCAUCUCUCCUAAAUUCAAGCUGAUGAUGAAAGUCAUCAGAGAGACAGAACAAAAUACCCCACAAGCUAUGACAAAAGGAACCUGUAUUUCAUAAAUCAGAGAAGAGUAAAGGACAGAGACCAAAGCCAAUAACUAGUGUUUAAACAUGCAGAGAGAAAGAGAGACAGAGAGAGAGAUGUUUCCUCUGCCUUCCACUACCAUGGGCAGGUGGGAAAUACCACCGACCCUGGGGACCCUGGGAUGGUCCCUGAGUGGGCCGUGUGCCAGGAGCCUGGCCAGAGAGCCAAGAGUGGUCAUGGCCCCCUGGGAGUUCUACUCUUUUCUAGGCAGCAGCAGUGACUGAGACCUUGUACACAAAACUCAUUCAUUCAAUCAGUAUUUAUCUAGGACUUCCAGAAACAGUGCUAAGCUGUGCUGGAGAGUGAUAGUAAAAAAGACACAGUCCCUACCAGCGAGAGACAUUGGGUCCAGCUGAUGAGUAAGACAAGCCAACAGAGUAGGGCAACAAGACCAGGAUCCCUUCGGGGCAUUACUGAGCACACGGCCUCGGUCUGGAAUUCUGGACACAUUCUUCACCUUAACUGGGGGUGCAUUGGGGAUUUAAAACCCCCAAGAGCCAGGGAUCUUUCCCACCCAAGCUAAUUUCUGGGCAGCUGUGCCACUGCAGGGCAUGCAGAAGGAAGAGAGCCUUCCAGAGGAAAGUCGCCUUGUUCCUUGCUUUGUGACCCUCAUCUCUGCGAGGUAGAGAAGAAAAGGAGGGCUCUUCCAUCGGGAGCUUCCAAGGUUCCGGGUGAGAGCUAGCCAGCUCUGCAUUUGGAGCAGAGAGAGACAGGAAUUUGGGACACUAGGUCACAAGUUGGUCUCUUCCUUUGUCAGCAGUCCAUUCAACAUGGCAAUGCCCACACCCACCUCACAAGGCAUGGAUGACACAAAGAGAUGGCUUGCCUGCAAGAGACCCAGCUGGUCUGGAGUUGGAGGCACACUUCAUUUCUCUGCCCAGCUCGGCAGGCGGCUGGAGCAAACCAGGAGAUCGCCUCAAAUGUUUUAAAUGUCAAUAUGGUCCCUUCUUGCUGGCUUGCCAAGAUUUGACCAGCUAAAUUGGCCUGUGUGGUGUGUUCCCUGCAGUGCACGAUGAGAUAAAAAUGACUGGGCAUCCAGAUUAAUGACUGGAUCACAUGCAGGAACGUACUGGCUGUGAGCAGCCCUGGGCCAGGGCAGAGGUGAACUUGACAAUCAUGUGGACGCUGGCUUUUGAUUACUGCUUCUUCUGGGCUCACGCUACCCAGGGCUCUCUUUAGACCAUCUCUAGGUGAACUUUCUGCCCCAGGAAUGAUCACCUCCAUUUUACUGGUGAGAGGUUCAAGGACUUCCCUUCCUUCUUUCCUCCCUUCCCCUUCUCUCCACUUCCUUCUCCUUCCCUCCUACAUCAUUUUUCCCUUUCCUUUCUUCCUCCCUUCCUUUAGCAAAUAGCCCUGGAGCAGCUGACCGGUUCUAGGAGCUGAGAACAGGGUGAUGGGUAAGAGGGACAAGGGCUUGCUCUCACGGUGUUUACAUUCUAGUGGGGGCAGGAGACAAGUCAACAGAUCAAUAAUUUCAGAUAAGAACAGCUGCUCUAAGAAGAACAACUGGGGAGUGAGAUGCAGUCCACUUUAGGCCGGUGGUUGGGGACGGCUUCUCUUGAGAGGUGGCAUUUAGGGGACUAAAUGGUAACAAUGAGCUGGCCUUGGGCAGGUCUGGGGGCAGAGCCAUCAGUGCCAGGGCACAGAGCUAGGAAAUGCAGAGCAGCUGGUACCCACGACUGGUCUUGCCUGAACCCCUAAUCCUUGCUCUUUCUGCCACAUCCUGCUUUCCCACUUGGCCAAAGAAUUGUGGUUGGCCAAAGGUGGGGCUAAGCUGUGCAGUGGGAGGGGCCAGGCUGAGCUGGAGGUGGCCAGGAGCCUCCUGGUACAGGGCCCUGGUGCCAGUGUCCUCACCCUCCCAGAAUCCUGUUCAUUUGUGUUGAGGACAUGGGGUGAAGGAUCUGAAAAUGCAUGCGCAGGCAGACGACCCACCCAGGCCAUUCACAGCCGCAGCAGUUUGGGACUCUCCGCUUGGCCCAGGUAGGGAGGCACUUGCGGUCCUUCCCAGGCCUGCCGUGAGGCUCCAGGGCCAGCGCCUAUCCCCAGCCCCAAGGAGGCACUCCGAAGAACCUAUUUUAAAUCUCAGCUCAGCAUUUUUGGCCAACUUACAGAGAAGCUGCAAGAUGAGUAAAGGAACUUGCCUAUAUUUUUUAUCUAGAUUUACCAGUUGUUGACAUUUGCCCAUCUGCUUUGUCAUUGGUGCUCUCUCUAUUCUGUGUGUGUGUGUGUGUGUGUGUGUGUGUGUGUGUGUGUGUGUGUGUGUUUGUGUUUGUU